GGACAGGUGGCUGAGUGGACGAAAGCGCCCGCCUGCUAAGUGGGUAAGGGGCAACCCUUCCCGGGUUCGAAUCCCGGCCUGUCCGCCA
RNAcentral lists this transfer RNA (88 nucleotides) under bacterium. RNAcentral's name for it is "tRNA-Ser". It matches the Rfam family "tRNA". From Rfam's summary of the family: Transfer RNA (tRNA) molecules are approximately 80 nucleotides in length. Their secondary structure includes four short double-helical elements and three loops (D, anti-codon, and T loops). RNAcentral also lists the same sequence under 2 other names. The record is from RNAcentral.